Molecule: ribosomal RNA, 502 nt
Filed under: uncultured bacterium
Lineage: Bacteria
Description: partial 16S ribosomal RNA
Rfam family: Bacterial small subunit ribosomal RNA
Source: RNAcentral
GAUGAACGCUGGCGGAAUGCUUUACACAUGCAAGUCGAACGGCAGCACGGGUGCUUGCACCUGGUGGCGAGUGGCGAACGGGUGAGUAAUAUAUCGGAACGUAUCCAAUAAUGGGGGAUAACUAGCCGAAAGGUUAGCUAAUACCGCAUACGCCCUGAGGGGGAAAGCUGGGGAUCGUAAGACCUAGCGUUGAUGGAGCGGCCGAUAUCUGAUUAGCUAGUUGGUGGGGUAAGAGCCUACCAAGGCGACGAUCAGUAGCUGGUCUGAGAGGACGACCAGCCACACUGGAACUGAGACACGGUCCAGACUCCUACGGGAGGCAGCAGUGGGGAAUUUUGGACAAUGGGGGCAACCCUGAUCCAGCCAUUCCGCGUGAGUGAAGAAGGCCUUCGGGUUGUAAAGCUCUUUCGCAAGGGAAGAAAACUCGAUCUCUAAUAUAGGUUGAGGCUGACGGUACCUUGAUAAGAAGCACCGGCUAACUACGUGCCAGCAGCCGCCGUAA